Molecule: long non-coding RNA, 3410 nt
Filed under: Daucus carota (carrot)
Lineage: Eukaryota; Viridiplantae; Streptophyta; Magnoliopsida; Apiales; Apiaceae
Description: long non-coding RNA (DCAR_LNC005707)
Source: RNAcentral
AUAUAUCUCCUCUCAUAACAUAACCAAACUGCAAACAGCACCAUAGCUAUGGCCUCUAGAUUGAUCCCUCUUAAGUUUUCAACUCAAGUCCUUCGUCCAACCAUUCUCCCUGCCAAGAUCGAAAUCUCCGAUAACUCCCCACGGACACCGUUUUCAGCAGUUUCACCGGCUCAUCACCAUCUCCUUGAAAUCCCAAGAGCUCCCAUACAUAAAACCCUGGAAACAAUUUUUGAGGAAGAGAGCCAGGAGGAAAAUCUCGAGUUGUCCACUUCCUCGGCCUCCUUGUCAGGUUACUCAUCGUCGUGCAACUGCGACGCGAGUUCAAGGAGGUUGCUUCGUUUUAUAGCGCUGCUAAUGAUGCAGAAACAUUCUCAAUCAUCAACUCAGGAGUGCAAGUGUUGUUAAGGGGGCUGUGCUUAGGAAUUAUGAUAUGUCUUUUGAGGUCCACUCAAAAUAAUUAAGCCUUAGGCCAAAAUGUUGUAUACAAGUAACAAGCCUUCCUACAAUUUGAUUAGGGGUUUGUUCGUUAUAUAUUAAUUUAAUGUUAAUUAGUUUCGUAUCAAGUUAUAGUAAUACUCUAUAUCCCUCUGCCUUAAUCUUUAAUAGGUAUAACUAUAUAUAUGGUGUGCAUAAAAAUUAAACACAUAACCAAUUUUCCAAAUAGAUUAUAAGUUAUAAAUAAGAGUCACGCUCAAGAGAACCGGUACUUAAAAUAGGAACUAUAACAUCAGUUCUGCUGCAAAACUCUAAAUUUUAAAUAGAUUUUUAGAGUCUAAAUCUAAAUCAUGCUUUUUGCUUAAUUCGUUGUGUGUGUUCAAAAUAAUUUUAAAAUAUAGGGUACAUAAACACGACACUUUUUGCAUGUGCAGUUCUGUUGGAGAAUUAUUAAUACUAAAAGGUUCUAAGAUUCUUAGGCUAAUUAUUCUGAGAGAAAUAUGACCCUUAUUUUAAAUAUAAUAAAUAAAUUUUUAAGUUCAAUCAAACUUCACCUAAAAUACAUUCAAAAUGAUCAUAUUUUAUAAUCAUUUUCAAUAUUGGAUCCCUUAGACUUGCAGUGAGGAUGCAUAACUAAAGUCUAAUCAUCUAAAACAGUAUAUUAAAAUUGUUACUGCUUUACAAUAAUUUUAAACAUUUACUAAUUUCCUCAAAUUAAUUUUGAGAAUAUACAUGCAUGGCUAUAGCAUGACAUUAACCAAUUAUCCCAGCUGCAUGCAUAGUUUUCUUUCAAAGUACAAACCGAGUUAAUGUCAUGAUAACAGGGGCAACACCAAUAGCUAGCUGCUGGUAGCACUCUUUAGGGACAUGUUAUUAACAAUUUAAUAUUGUUAUCUUUUAUUUUCCCCUUAUUUAUACAUUUGUCGUUUUUUCAAAAAACAGUCUGAAGCAUACCUUAACCCUAACCGAGGGUCAAUACUUUUAAAUAAUACUUGUAUUUCUGAUAUGACUUACAAACGAAAUACAUCCAACAUUUUUUAAACGUUCAGUAUCCCUCUGCAUGAAUAUACCAACCCCUCUCAAAUAGAGCGUUAAUUGUCAUGUGAUAUCAUGUUAGCACCUUGUUAAAACUUCUUGAGAAAAAGAAAACCUGCGAAAAUUUUAUAAUAUAUAUAACUUUCGAAAAUUAAUAACUAGCGUAUUACGUUAAGUGUCGAAUUCUAUUAAAAUAUUAGAAUUAGUAUUUAAAAGUUAAUAGGAGGCUUUAACUGAUCAUGUAUUAUAUUAUAAAUAAUAAAUAAUUAUAUAGUAUUGUCAAAGGAAGAUAAAAUGCCAAAACUCAGCACGUAAAGUUUUUAAGCAAACACAACAUAUGUAACUAUGUAAGAUUUUAUACAGAUAAAAUAUUUUAGUUUCAACCUUGACCCAGAAAAAAAAGAAGGAAAUACACAUAUAGAUGUCGUAGAGAUUGUAAUUAGGGGUAUGUUUGGAUGUGUUUUUAAAAACUGUUAUGCUCUUAUAAAAAAUGUCUGAAAGAAAGCGUUGUAGAAAUCAGAUAAUCGGUAAUGUUUUUAAUAUUUGCAUAUUUUAAUUUUUAAGUAAUAAUAAAAAAAUUGAGGAGAUUUGAAGGUAAAAUUUAUUGAUAGUUUUACCGCAAAAACUGAAAUUUGCAAAAGCAUGGGGAUCUGCUUUUUUUUUUUUAAACGGUUUUUGAAAUAAAAACUGCUAUUCAAAAAAUUACUUUUAAAAUUUUCAAAUAAUUUAUUACCAAUCAUUCAGUAAAAAGCUAGCUACUGUUUAUAAUGUUGAUGCUAUUUAUGUUGAUGUCAAAUCCUUAGAUAACGAUAAACUCACAAUUAUUGAGAGAAAGCACGGGAGAGAGUAUUUUGAACUAAAAAUGCAUGGGGCAUAACUUUCAAAUUACGAAAUGAUUAUAAUCUUCCAAAUUAAUUAGCUGUUUGUUCAAUAGUAGACUAGUAGUGCAAGCUAAGCUGGGGCAUGCAAGAAAAGAGACGAUAAUCACCUGCGCCGUAUUUGCAAGGGCACGUACCUUUCAAAUAUAUUUUCAAAAAAGGACUUAUUUGUUGUGCACAAUAUAACAAAUUUAGGCCAUCUAUCCAGGGAACUAUGGAAUAUAGUGAUGUUAAUUUACACUCAUAAAUAUUGUCAGCAAGUCGGCCUUGUGAAGAAGACCGAUACGGUAGAUGUGGCCUUUGCUUGACAAGUUUGCUAUGAACCUUAUCUUGUUUCCCAGCUUAAUAAUUUUCUUGCAUUUCAGUAAUGGACGUCAAUGUGACGAACUCUUUUUGGUCAUCACUUAUCAGUUAGUAUCAAAUUGCCAAAGGAGGACUGUUGGGCUAAUUUAAGUUGCAUUAUUGUAAUUCGCCACCAUUUUUUUGCUCAAAUAUGUUUACCAUUUGACCUUGGAAAUUUAGUAGGCUGAAAUAGGGUUUUUACGAGCGAUUCAAUUUCGGUCGACCCAAUUCCAACGAUGCUAAUUCCAGUCAAAAAAUAGAACGAUCGGAAUAUGGGAUCAACAACGACUAGAUGCAGACUUAGGUUGGUAUUUUGUGGAUAUUAAUCGAUAAUUACGAUUAAUAAUCAAGAACUCUAUAAAAUAAAAAUUGACUUGGAAGUAAUGUUGAUAAGUAAUCGAUUUUGUGUCCAAUAAUUCGGUCGUUAUCUAGAAACUCAGGUUCUUAAAAUAUCGAAAUUAUCGCUCGUAAUCGAUCAGUAGUCAAGAUGAGUCCACUCUCUUAAAAAAGUUUGACCCGUAAAUUAUAAAUAAAUAUAUAUAACGAUUAAUUAUCCGAUCGACGGUUCGGUCACAAUGACAUGAUUUUUUAAAAUUCCGAUCACAAAAAUUUCUUUUGAUUUGUUUUGCUAUUCAAGUUUUAUUAUUUAACUCUGUGGUUCAUUAAUUAUAGUAUUGUGUUUAUAGCCUGCGGUCCCCAUAUCAGUGACCUCAAAAAUAA